RNAcentral lists this ribosomal RNA (448 nucleotides) under uncultured bacterium. RNAcentral's name for it is "bacterial SSU rRNA". It matches the Rfam family "Bacterial small subunit ribosomal RNA", at positions 330 to 794 of the family's 1533-position model. The record is from RNAcentral.
GCCAGACUCCUACGGGAGGCAGCAGUGGGGAAUAUUGCACAAUGGGGGAAACCCUGAUGCGGCGACGCCGCGUGGGCGAGGAAGUACCUCGGUAUGUAAAGCCCUAUCAGCAGGGAAGAAACAGGACAGUACCUGACUAAGAAGCCCCGGCUAACUACGUGCCAGCAGCCGCGGUAAUACGUAGGGGGCAAGCGUUAUCCGGAUUUACUGGGUGUAAAGGGAGCGUAGACGGCCAGACAAGUCAGAAGUGAAAGCCCAGGGCUCAACCCUGGGACUGCUUUUGAAACUGCCGGGCUGGAGUGCAGGAGAGGUAAGCGGAAUUCCUAGUGUAGCGGUGAAAUGCGUAGAUAUUAGGAGGAACACCAGUGGCGAAGGCGGCUUACUGGACUGUAACUGACGUUGAGGCUCGAAAGCGUGGGGAGCAAACAGGAUUAGAUACCCUGGUAGG